CGCGUAGGCGGCUAUUUAAGUCUGAUGUGAAAUCCCCGGGCUCAACCUGGGAAUGGCAUCGGAUACUGGGUAGCUAGAGUGCAGUAGGGGAAGGUGGAAUUCCAGGUGUAGCGGUGAAAUGCGUAGAGAUCUAAGGAGGAACACCAGUGGCGAAGGCGGCCUUCUGGACUGACACCGACGCUGAGGUGCGAAAGCGUGGGGAUCAAACA
This 209-nucleotide ribosomal RNA is filed under the name uncultured bacterium. RNAcentral's name for it is "partial 16S ribosomal RNA". It matches the Rfam family "Bacterial small subunit ribosomal RNA", at positions 568 to 774 of the family's 1533-position model. The record is from RNAcentral.